GAUGAACGCUGGCGGCGUGCCUAAUACAUGCAAGUCGAGCGAACGGACGAGAAGCUUGCUUCUCUGAUGUUAGCGGCGGACGGGUGAGUAACACGUGGAUAACCUACCUAUAAGACUGGGAUAACUUCGGGAAACCGUAGCUAAUACCGGAUAAUAUUUUGAACCGCAUGGUUCAAAAGUGAAAGACGGUCUUGCUGUCACUUAUAGAUGGAUCCGCGCUGCAUUAGCUAGUUGGUAAGGUAACGGCUUACCAAGGCAACGAUGCAUAGCCGACCUGAGAGGGUGAUCGGCCACACUGGAACUGAGACACGGUCCAGACUCCUACGGGAGGCAGCAGUAGGGAAUCUUCCGCAAAGGGCGAAAGCCUGACGGAGCAACGCCGCGUGAGUGAUGAAGGUCUUCGGAUCGUAAAACUCUGUUAUUAGGGAAGAACAUAUGUGUAAGUAACUGUGCACAUCUUAACGGUACCUAAUCAGAAAGCCACGGCUAACUACGUG
Molecule: ribosomal RNA, 497 nt
Filed under: uncultured bacterium
Lineage: Bacteria
Description: partial 16S ribosomal RNA
Rfam family: Bacterial small subunit ribosomal RNA
Source: RNAcentral